Molecule: ribosomal RNA, 497 nt
Filed under: uncultured bacterium
Lineage: Bacteria
Description: partial 16S ribosomal RNA
Rfam family: Bacterial small subunit ribosomal RNA
Source: RNAcentral
GACGAACGCUGGCGGCGUGCUUAAUACAUGCAAGUCGAGCGGUGAAACGCCUUCCUUGCUGCUCGGUGGGUAUGAGUGGCGGACGGGUGAGUAACUCGUUAGUAACCUUACCACUCCUGCUUAAUAACGGCAUGACAGUGUGACUAAUACAGGAUAUUCUGAGUCGCUCGCAUGAUUAGUCUAGGAAAGAUUUUGUUUCGCUUGUGGAUGGGCUCGCGCCGUAUUAGCUUGUUGGUAGGGUGAUGGCUUACCAAGGCGGCGAUGCGUAGCCGACCUGAGAGGAGGGUCGGCCGCACCGGUGGUGAGGCGCGGCCCACACGCCUACGACGGGAAGCAGUAGGGAGGAAUCCGGAAUGGUCGAAGGCCUGACGAUGCAGCGACGCGUGGGGAGUGAUGGAGUUCGUCGCGCUGUAAUCCGUUUUUGGGGGUGAACAAGUGUGGAAUUGACUGUGCGCGUCUUGACGGUACCUGGACAAAAAGCCACGGCUAACUACGUG